UACGUAGGUGGCAAGCGUUAUCCGGAUUUAUUGGGUUUAAAGGGUGCGCAGGUUGUUUGAUAAGUCAGUGGUGAAAGUCUGUCGCUUAACGGUAGGAUUGCCAUUGAUACUGUUGGACUUGAAUAUGGAUGAGGUAGGCGGAAUGUGUAGUGUAGCGGUGAAAUGCAUAGAUAUUACACAGAACACCGAUUGCGAAGGCAGCUUACUAAUCCAUCAUUGACGCUGAGGCACGAAAGCGUGGGGAGCAAACAGGA
Molecule: ribosomal RNA, 254 nt
Filed under: uncultured prokaryote
Description: partial 16S ribosomal RNA
Rfam family: Bacterial small subunit ribosomal RNA
Source: RNAcentral